UGGGGAAUAUUGCACAAUGGGCGCAAGCCUGAUGCAGCCAUGCCGCGUGUAUGAAGAAGGCCUUCGGGUUGUAGAGUACUUUCAGUCGGGAGGAAGGUGGUAAGGUUAAUAACCUUACCAAUUGACGUUACCGACAGAAGAAGCACCGGCUAACUCCGUGCCAGCAGCCGCGGUAAUACGGAGGGUGCAAGCGUUAAUCGGAAUUACUGGGCGUAAAGCGCACGCAGGCGGUUGAUUGAGUCAGAUGUGAAAUCCCCGGGCUUAACCCGGGAAUUGCAUCUGAUACUGGGCAGCUAGAGUCUUGUAGAGGGGGGUAGAAUUCCAUGUGUAGCGGUGAAAUGCGUAGAGAUGUGGAGGAAUACCGGUGGCGAAGGCGGCCCCCUGGACAAAGACUGACGCUCAGGUGCGAAAGCGUGGGGAGCAAACAGG
This 429-nucleotide ribosomal RNA is filed under the name Chloroflexota bacterium. RNAcentral's name for it is "Chloroflexi bacterium partial 16S ribosomal RNA". It matches the Rfam family "Bacterial small subunit ribosomal RNA", at positions 355 to 776 of the family's 1533-position model. Lineage: Bacteria; Bacillati; Chloroflexota. The record is from RNAcentral.